Molecule: ribosomal RNA, 253 nt
Filed under: uncultured bacterium
Lineage: Bacteria
Description: partial 16S ribosomal RNA
Rfam family: Bacterial small subunit ribosomal RNA
Source: RNAcentral
UACGUAGGGGGCAAGCGUUGUCCGGAUUUAUUGGGCGUAAAGAGCGUGUAGGCGGCUGGGUAGGCCCGUUGUGAAAACUCGAGGCUCAACCUCGAGACGCCGAUGGAAACCCUCCAGCUAGAGUCCGGAAGAGGAGAGUGGAAUUCCUGGUGUAGCGGUGAAAUGCGCAGAUAUCAGGAAGAACACCCGUGGCUAAGGCGGCUCUCUAGUACGGUACUGACGCUGAGACGCGAAAGCGUGGGGAGCGAACAGG